Symphalangus syndactylus (siamang) is the source of this 3658-nucleotide long non-coding RNA. RefSeq lists it as uncharacterized. The record is from RefSeq and is a predicted model, not a curated record. Lineage: Eukaryota; Metazoa; Chordata; Mammalia; Primates; Hylobatidae.
UCCUUGCAUGGGAGAGGUAAAGAGAAGUAAGCAAGAAGGGCCUCAUAAAGGUAGAGGCAUUUGGGAUGAGCCUUUGAGGAUAGAUAAUAUUUGACAUAGGGAAAUGAAGGUAGAGAUAUACAUAAGCAACAAAGUGAAGAAAAGAAUGACAGAUUGGAAGUGGGCUAUUCAGGAAAAAAUGCUUUUCUUUGGAAACCAUGGAUAAUAUUUCAGCUUCUAUUCUUACAAAUUAGUCUCGGCAAAGUUGCCACUUAUCAUAUGUUCAAUAUGAAGUAUUUUCCUUGCCUAUAAGAAACACUACAACGAUGUGAGUAGAGGUGAAACAGAGAGUAGACGUGUCCCAGUUGUGCCCCAGAUGUGUUUGUAAACUUCUAGGUAUGGUUUCCAAAGAAAUAAAGCUCACAGUACUUUUAUUAAGAAUACUUAUAUUUCUAUAAAUAAAUGGAAACUCAUCUUCAGCUAAAAAUAUAGUGGCGGCUCACAUCUAUAAUCCUAGCACUCUGGGAAGCCAAUGUAGGGGGAUCACUUGAGGCCAGGAGUGUGAGACCAGCCUGGACAGCAUAGUAAGACUCCUUCUCUACAAAAUAUUAUUUUAAAAAAUUAUUUGGGCAUGGUUUCUCAUGUCUGUAGUCUCAGCUACUCAGGGGGUGAGGUGGGAGGAUCAUUUAGCCCAGAAGGUGGAGGCUGCAGUGAACCAUGAUUUGUCGUUGCACUUCAGCCUGGGUGACGGAGCGAGACCUUGUCUCUAAACAAAACAAAACAAAACUUGGAAAUUCUAGAUAUCCAGGUAUUUACUCACUACCACAUAGCUUAACUGUAUUUCCUUAUUAUUUUGUCUCUAGCUGAAGUUCUCUGGAAUGGUCAUGAAGACAGAAGACAUCAAAGAUUAGGAAAUCUAUCCCAAAAAGAUCACGAAAUCAAGGACAGUGACACCUUUUUGAGCUUUUUACUUGCCUCUUCCUGUUGUUGUUUUUUUUUUUCCACUUCCCUUAGUCAUUCACUAAUCAGUUCUGCUUUAGAACCAUUAAAAUAAUAGAAAACUUACAGAAACUUGGUAAAAUGUUUCUCUGGCCUAUUUCCAAACUGCCCAAAAUUAAUGGGAAAUGGUUAAAGUCAAAAAAGCUUUUUCUCUGACAUGGAUUUCUAAACAAUAUAAUUAUGGUUCACUCCAUGGUUAUGAGCUUUGGGAGCUCCCACAAAAAAGUCUUUGCUGCAGAUGUGGCCACUGGCUGCUAUACCAGGCAAUUUGAUUCGUGUUUGUUGUUGUUGAAAAAAUAUAUAAAACUCUCUUAUGUUGGAUUAAGAGGCUUUUAAGAGGAAGCUAGACACAAAGGCCAGGUCUCUCUCUAUUUGCUCGCUCAUGACAAAGGUAGAAGUUUCAAAUUUGUGAUACAUGUGAAGAAUGUGUCUGUUACUUCGUCUUACAUUUUUGCCUUCAGAAUUAUUGUUUUCAAUCAUUCUAUUUUAUAUAAAUGCACAAAAAAUAAGUCCAAGCUAAACUAGUGAUGCUGGGUCACUCCAAGAAGUAUCCUCAAUACAGCUUCACAAAUUUACCCUUUUCUCUCCAAAUCCAUGUUUAUUUCUUGAGACAGUUAUAUGAUGUUUUGCCAAGAAAGCAACUGGGAGCAAUGCCUUAUGUUUAACUGGGCUUUUAGAUUUGAGAAGCAAUCCAAUCCAAGACUUCACAAUAAGACUUCCAUAGCAAUCGGAUAUUAGUGACAUAAAAGGACCUUAAGAACUCCACCAUUUUAUACUCUAUAUAAAUGUAUGAUGUGGUACAUAAAGUAUUAAUCAAUACUUCAUGAGCAUAGUAGCUCUGUUUAUACCAAUUUCUAGCAAUGUAAAUUAAGCAAUUUUGUAGAAAAAAUAUAAUAAUUGAAAGUAUAAUUUAACUUCCACUCCAUGAACACUUAGCCUCUUCAUACCAUCCUCCUCCAAGCAUUUCUUUGGUCCUUGGAAAAUCAGUGAAAAAUCUGAAAAAUUGGGAUUUUGUGUUUGAUUAUAUGUAGAUUUACUACAAGUAUACUGGGCUUUUCUUUUCUGAUGCUAUAGAGACGAACUAUAGCUUUCCUAACUCAAUCUUAUUAUUAGCCAGGUCCAGUUUAUAUUAGUUAAAAUGAACAUCAUAAAUUUACAGUAUAACUUAUCUGGUACAUUCCUUCUAUUGUAGUUUGAAAAUGUGCCAUUCAGGACUGAAAUGACUCAAACAUAAUCAGAUUUUAUUUCUAGAGAAGUAAAGUCUACACUUCUAUAAUUCUGUGAACCCAUCAGCAAUUAACUUUGUCCCAGUAGAAUUAAUAUAGUGUUCAAGUUCAGGAUUGAAUAGAUGAGAAGAGGAAGGAACAAUAAAACUCAUUCACUCCCAUGCUAGGUUCUGCAAAAUAGCUUCCAUAUUCCCAUAAUGUGAUAUUUAUCUUCCUUAUUAUAGCACAUUUAAAGUCAGUAACCCUAAAAAUCUCCUACAUAAAGGUUUGCAUCUUUCCCCUUAAAAAUGUACAGAUGAGCUUGUGAUAAAGAGAUGAUGUCUCCUGCCAGAUUGUAAUAUCAUAUAGACCAGUUACCAGAGUGUCUUUCUAAAGGAAACCAAGGACCACUUCAGUGAAAUAUUGAAGGCAGGGGAGGCCUGAAAUGAUUAAAAGAAACAAAGCUUUCCCAUAGCAUGUGUCCUUUUCUUUGUAAGGAGAUGAGAAUUGGUCUCUUUGCUCAGAGCAAUACCUUGGGCAACACUGAGAACUCCCAUCUCUAAGAUGGUGUAAAUGGGAUGUUUACUGGCUGGCAGGUAAUGAGUCUUGUUGUAGAUAAUAGUGAUGGACAGAAUCUCACGCCUGUUGACAUCCCAGCAUCUCAGCAGCUAUAUAUGGUUAUCAUCCAUCGCUUUGAAGCACAUACAAUAUUGUGACAGGAUGCACAAUAUUUCCCCCAUAGAAAUGAUGUCUAGGUUAGGAAGCCACAGACCCUGCUGACUUCAAUUGUCCCAAACAUGUGAGUACUGGAUUUGGACCUGCCUUUGAAAUGGACUUAAGCAGCUUGAAAAUGGAAGUUGGAUCAGAGUCAUUCAAAAAUACAUUGGGAGAUAACAUAGGCUUCCCUUCAUCCAGAAGAAAAUCUGGAUCUGGAUCUGUUCAUGUAUUGUUUCUACAAAGCAGAACAAAGGUAGAUUGGAAGGCUGCUGGCUUCAACAUUUUCUGUAGAGAAGGAACACCUAUGAAAAUCCUAUCACUGGCUGAAUAGACAUAUUCUCCUUUCCAGCACCAACUCUGGGGAAUGGUGGGCCUCACAGGCUGGCUAACCCUUCUUGGAGUUCAUGGGAAAAAGAUGUCUAGUUCAAAGAAGAUGAGAAGGGAGGUAUCGUUCUAAUCAUGUGGAAAGCCCGUUGUGCUUUUAGUUUGUGUUUGUAGCAUUCUUAGCUUAAUUUCAGUGAUGUUAUUGUAGCUGUGAAGAUUAGAUAAUAAUAAGAAAAACUAAUUCUUAGGCACCAGACAGACAAUAUGAAAAAAACAUAUAAUUCUAAAUGUAGGUCAAAUUUUAUAUCUAUCAGCAUUGAUGCAGUGUUGUUCUGGUCUGUUCUUAAAUUUUUGUUUUAUGAAAAACAAUGAAUGCAAUAAUCUUCUAAUACAGCGAUUAAGAAACAGUGUAUAUUUUUCCACAUACUAUCAAA